Molecule: ribosomal RNA, 515 nt
Filed under: uncultured bacterium
Lineage: Bacteria
Description: partial 16S ribosomal RNA
Rfam family: Bacterial small subunit ribosomal RNA
Source: RNAcentral
GAUGAACGCUGGCGGCGUGCCUAAUACAUGCAAGUCGAGCGAAUGGGUUAAGAGCUUGCUCUUAUGAAGUUAGCGGCGGACGGGUGAGUAACACGUGGGUAACCUGCCCAUAAGACUGGGAUAACUCCGGGAAACCGGGGCUAAUACCGGAUAACAUUUUGAACCGCAUGGUUCGAAAUUGAAAGGCGGAUUCGGCUGUCACUUAUGGAUGGACCCGCGUUGCAUUAGCUAGUUGGUGAGGUAACGGCUCACCAAGGCAGCGAUGCGUAGCCGUCCUGAGAGGGUGAUCGGCCACACUGGGACUGAGACACGGCCCAGACUCCUACGGGAGGCAGCAGUAGGGAAUCUUCCGCAAUGGACGAAAGUCUGACGGAGCAACGCCGCGUGAGUGAUGAAGGCUUUCGGGCCGUAAAACUCUGUUGUUAGGGAAGAACAAGUGCUAGUUGAAUAAGCUGGCACCUUGACGGUACCUAACCAGAAAGCCACGGCUAACUACGUGCCAGCCGCCGCAGUAA